ACGGUAACAGGAAGCAGCUUGCUGCUUCGCUGACGAGUGGCGGACGGGUGAGUAAUGUCUGGGAAACUGCCUGAUGGAGGGGGAUAACUACUGGAAACGGUAGCUAAUACCGCAUAAUGUCGCAAGACCAAAGAGGGGGACCUUCGGGCCUCUUGCCAUCAGAUGUGCCCAGAUGGGAUUAGCUAGUAGGUGGGGUAACGGCUCACCUAGGCGACGAUCCCUAGCUGGUCUGAGAGGAUGACCAGCCACACUGGAACUGAGACACGGUCCAGACUCCUACGGGAGGCAGCAGUGGGGAAUAUUGCACAAUGGGCGCAAGCCUGAUGCAGCCAUGCCGCGUGUAUGAAGAGGGCCUUCGGGUUGUAAAGUACUUUCAGCGGGGAGGAAGGCGAUGUGGUUAAUAACCGCGUCGAUUGACGUUACCCGCAGAAGAAGCACCGGCUAACUCCGUGCCAGCAGCCGCGGUAAUACGGAGGGUGCAAGCGUUAAUCGGAAUUACUGGGCGUAAAGCGCACGCAGGCGGUUUGUCAAGUCGGAUGUGAAAUCCCCGGGCUCAACCUGGGAACUGCAUCCGAAACUGGCAGGCUUGAGUCUCGUAGAGGGGGGUAGAAUUCCAGGUGUAGCGGUGAAAUGCGUAGAGAUCUGGAGGAAUACCGGUGGCGAAGGCGGCCCCCUGGACGAAGACUGACGCUCAGGUGCGAAAGCGUGGGGAGCAAACAGGAUUAGAUACCCUGGUAGUCCACGCCGUAAACGAUGUCGACUUGGAGGUUGUGCCCUUGAGGCGUGGCUUCCGGAGCUAACGCGUUAAGUCGACCGCCUGGGGAGUACGGCCGCAAGGUUAAAACUCAAAUGAAUUGACGGGGGCCCGCACAAGCGGUGGAGCAUGUGGUUUAAUUCGAUGCAACGCGAAGAACCUUACCUGGUCUUGACAUCCACAGAACUUUCCAGAGAUGGAUUGGUGCCUUCGGGAACUGUGAGACAGGUGCUGCAUGGCUGUCGUCAGCUCGUGUUGUGAAAUGUUGGGUUAAGUCCCGCAACGAGCGCAACCCU
RNAcentral lists this ribosomal RNA (1050 nucleotides) under Salmonella enterica subsp. enterica. Its description in RNAcentral is "bacterial SSU rRNA". It matches the Rfam family "Bacterial small subunit ribosomal RNA", at positions 66 to 1105 of the family's 1533-position model. The record is from RNAcentral. Lineage: Bacteria; Pseudomonadati; Pseudomonadota; Gammaproteobacteria; Enterobacterales; Enterobacteriaceae.